Small nuclear RNA from Ipomoea nil (Japanese morning glory), 161 nucleotides. It matches the Rfam family "U1 spliceosomal RNA". From Rfam's summary of the family: U1 is a small nuclear RNA (snRNA) component of the spliceosome (involved in pre-mRNA splicing). Its 5' end forms complementary base pairs with the 5' splice junction, thus defining the 5' donor site of an intron. The record is from Rfam. Lineage: Eukaryota; Viridiplantae; Streptophyta; Magnoliopsida; Solanales; Convolvulaceae.
AUACUUACUUGGACAGGGUUAAUGGGUGUUCAACAAGGUCCAUGGCCUAGGUUGAUGACUUCCAUUGCACUUUAGAGGGGUGUUAUUUUAAGGACUACCUUAUAGGUGGAGCCUACGUCAUAAUUUGUGGUAGAGGGGGCCUGUGUUCGCGCGGCCCCUAC